RNAcentral lists this transfer RNA (59 nucleotides) under Bactrurus brachycaudus. RNAcentral's name for it is "tRNA-Ala". The record is from RNAcentral. Lineage: Eukaryota; Metazoa; Arthropoda; Malacostraca; Amphipoda; Crangonyctidae.
AGAAUUAUAAUUUAUAAAAAUAUUUAGUUUGCAACUAAAACUUGCUUAAGCUAAUUCUA